UCCAUUGAAGUCCUGAACCUGAUGUGUAGUCUCCAUAAACUACUGGUGGCAAACUGGGAAAGAAGAAAUCACUGGAAAUUCUUCCCAACAGCCAGCAUGACUACAAAGGAUUCUUUGGAAAUGAGACCCUGAAAUUGGUACUUUAAGCCAUCACCCCACAUACUUCUGAAGCAGAAAUCCGAGGUCGGCAGCACCCUGGAACAUCACUCAGGUUUCCUGCUUAAAGGCCGGGUUGAUUGAGGACUGGAUACAUCUAUAGAGAGUUCUGCAAAAAUCCAUCCCUCAUCUAUGAAAAAUUAUUCAUAGCACAUGAGAAUGAAAGAGCCUGACUAAGGACAUGAAUGUAUGAGAAAGGAAACAUGGACUCCCACACUCAUGUGAUCUUCAGAUUUCAAAGAAGCAAAGAUGUAAUGGUCUAUCCAAAGGUCUAUUUUGGAAGACAUUUUAAAGUUCGAUAUGUUAGAAAUCAAGUGAGAAAAAAAU
Molecule: long non-coding RNA, 483 nt
Organism: Marmota monax (woodchuck)
Lineage: Eukaryota; Metazoa; Chordata; Mammalia; Rodentia; Sciuridae
Exons: 3
Source: RefSeq, a predicted model, not a curated record